GCGUCAGUAAUGCAAUGGGUUAGAGCACUCGCUCCCGAAUAGAGUGAGAUGUGAGGUUCGAGUCCCGCCUGACGCC
Non-coding RNA from Parelaphostrongylus tenuis, 76 nucleotides. Lineage: Eukaryota; Metazoa; Nematoda; Chromadorea; Rhabditida; Metastrongylidae. The record is from the annotation of a GenBank genome assembly.